CGCACGACUCCACCACCUUCUUGACAGUGCAAGAGCUCGAAGAGAUCGAUCAACUUCUAUUGAGAUUGAGAGACAGAGUCAUUGGGCAUUUGGGAGGAAAGCACCCGUAUGCUUCUCUCUCUCUCUCUCUCUCUCUCUCUCUCUCUCUGUGAUGGCGAUACCAUGGCCGCUCACCUUCUUCAGCUCCACUCGCCCUCUCUUCACAGCCAGACCAUCCGUACGAUCGCAUCUCCUUACCCGUCAUCACCUUCCAACCAUCUCAGCAACAACCUCCCUUUCCACUUCCCAACCUUCACUCCCCAACAAAUCCCAUCCCUUCAUCACCACUCCCACAAAACCCCACCACCGACGGCUGAAAAUCACAGCCGCCCACUUCAACUUCUCAUUCCUACCGCUCAUCUCUCCUCACGAAUCACGAUCAUUGGGGAAUAUGGACCUCGCUCUUCACAGCUGGUGCAUUCGGCCUCUGGUACUACUUCCCACUCAUCGAUCCUGCCUUGAUUCAUUUCUCCUUUCCUCUUUUUAUUUUGAGAUUUUGAUUCAAAGAUGUCUGUUUUGAAAUGGGAUCGGAAUGCCGGAGAAGACGAGAGUGCAGAGCGCGCUGAGCGGCGCCCUGGUCAGCACUCUGGUGGCGCUCGCCACAACCAACCUCAGCAUCAUUGCUAGUGAGGUCCCGGUGUAUUAUGUUGUCUUGGAGUAUCUGCUGCCCGUCGCCGUUCAUUUGCUGCUCUUCAGAGCAGAUCUGCCUCACAUCCUGCAGUCCACCGGUGCUGCUUUUGGCUUUCUUGUUUGGAUUAGGUUAUGGGGGACUUGUUGGAUCAUCUAACUAGCUGGGAUGUUGGAACAUAAUCUAUUAUUGCAGUUUAAUAUAGACCACUGUAUUUGGAAAAGUUGCACCAGCCGUCUAUCUAGACCAGUGUAUUUGGAUGUAAGCUAUUGCAGAUUGCAAUUUGUUAUUGAUUGUGCUUAAAAGAUGAACUUCAUUUCUCUGGCCUACUGAUCACAGUGCUACGAAGGGAAACAACUUUUUGAAUUUGAUUGGGCUCACAUGAUAUGAUCUUGCCUUGUAUUGUUGUGGACGAUUCGCAAAGAACAACACUUCACAAUUGCCUGAUGCAAAGAUGAAGAAAUUUACAGAAGAUGCUAUCAAAUUCAAAAUGGAUGACAGUAUGUGGAUUCAUAAUUUUCACACUAUCCUUUGCGUUUAUGUUUUAAUUGAAAUGAGCAUAAAGUUUGAAGUUUACUGUUUUUUCUUUGGUUUUUCUAUGAAUGAAGCAUACCUUCAAUGUCAUGAUAUUUCCUUUCCUGGCUUUUUGCAGCUGCUGAACUGUAUGACUUUGAUGAUGAGAAGAUUAUGCAGAUUUGUUGUCCAUUCACAGAACCGAUCUGAUGAUAGCAACUUCAGAACAGUUGGAUUUAAGAUGGAUGGAUGGGAUGAAAGUUGGAUCAAGUUGGUUGGGAGAAGCAUUUUUGGUUUUGCUGCAGCAGCUACCACUGUGAUUGCCAUCAGCUGCGAUUCCUUGGGCCUCGUGGAGUCUCUCAUCACCGCUUUCCCUGCUUCUCGUGGAGAGCUUGAUCGGCCUUGUGAAUAGGAUUGAGAGGGCCUAUAUGGUCCUCGGCGACUACGGUGGCAACAACUCCUUGCUAACUCUUUGGGAAGCCCUUCCGUUCAUCGCUGUCGUCAGUGGACAGAAUUCUGCAAAAUCAUCGAUUUUGGAGAGCAUCGUCAGGUGGGAUUUUCUUCUUAGGGGAUCUGCUGCACAAGACAGACAAAGGACAGAUGGAGUAUGUUGGGUUUCUUCACUCGCCAAAGAGGAGAUUUUCAGGUUUAGGUAAAUCUUGUUUUUCUAUUGCUUCGUAGAUUCGAUGUUUGAUUUAUGGGUCUUUUUUGCCCCGAAAUCUCCCCUACAUUGUCGCUGCUUCUUGAUUUUAUUUUCAUCUUGAAUUCUCUCAAUUCUAACUCGACGAGUACAUGCAUACAGCAACAAACAUCUUCAAGUAGGUAGAGGAACUGCAAAGGCGAAGUAAUUACUCUCUACUGCCAUUGAUCCGAAAUGUUUUUUUAAUGAAAUAAGGAAACUUUGAAGAACAUAUUGGAAAUUGGAUAUCCAAGAGAUGACACUGGAUAUGAAAAUUCACCUCAAUCAGAGUAUAUUGACCUCCCCUAGUACAGGUGAGCAACCUGUGUGUUUGCAGCAACCAUUACUCACCAACAGCUUUGAUUCUGUUCACUCAUCAUUACCUCCUAGCUUUGCCACACUACUGACAAGCUGUUCAACAGAAAAUUUGAAAGGUUAUGAUAUGCAAACAAGAAGUGUUGUAGUCCUGGCAUAUUGUUGUGUAGAUUUUCUUUUGUACAUUGUUCAAAAAGCUUGUGGCCUGACUGAAAGCCUGGUUGAGUUGACCUGUUCAAAAAGGUGGCAAAACAUUCCAAGUUGAUGAUUUACUUGGAGUAUUAGUAGUUUCAACCCAGCAAGUUUCUGGCUUGUUGAAAACGAAGUGAAACUUUCAAUUUCUUCUGGGAAUUGCUAGCAUUUUGUUUGGUAUCAUCUUUUUGUUGAUUCCGUUAACUCCUUUACUGCUUCCAACACAAGGAAAACCCAAUUGAAAUUGGUGAACUUUUGGCUUGUAUUAUUGGUUUCUGCUAGCUUGUAAUUGAAAGGUUCCCUUCAUGGUUACACUUGUAAUCUGUUUUCUCUUUCUGUACCAAUUUCUUCUGACCGAGGUUUACGAAUG
Magnolia sinica is the source of this 2736-nucleotide RNA transcript. RefSeq lists it as uncharacterized. The record is from RefSeq and is a predicted model, not a curated record. The transcript is spliced from 6 exons. Lineage: Eukaryota; Viridiplantae; Streptophyta; Magnoliopsida; Magnoliales; Magnoliaceae.